RNAcentral lists this ribosomal RNA (301 nucleotides) under uncultured bacterium. RNAcentral's name for it is "partial 16S ribosomal RNA". It matches the Rfam family "Bacterial small subunit ribosomal RNA", at positions 509 to 807 of the family's 1533-position model. The record is from RNAcentral.
CAGCAGCCACGGUAAUACGAAGGGUGCAAGCGUUAAUCGGAAUUACUGGGCGUAAAGCGUGCGUAGGCGGUGAGUUAAGUCUGCUGUGAAAUCCCCGGGUUCAACCUGGGAAUGGCAGUGGAUACUGGCUCGCUAGAGUGUGUCAGAGGAUGGUGGAAUUCCCGGUGUAGCGGUGAAAUGCGUAGAGAUCGGGAGGAACAUCAGUGGCGAAGGCGGCCAUCUGGGACAACACUGACGCUGAGGCACGAAAGCGUGGGGAGCAAUCAGGAUUAGAUACCCCCGUAGUCCCUGUCUCUUAUAC